AAGGAGUGUUUAGAACAACAAGAACUGCUAAUUCUUUAUACUGGGGUUUAAAUCCCCAGACCCCUU
RNAcentral lists this transfer RNA (66 nucleotides) under Microlophus atacamensis. RNAcentral's name for it is "partial tRNA-Ser". The record is from RNAcentral. Lineage: Eukaryota; Metazoa; Chordata; Lepidosauria; Squamata; Tropiduridae.